This 199-nucleotide long non-coding RNA is filed under the name Ananas comosus (pineapple). RNAcentral's name for it is "long non-coding RNA (ACOM_LNC011542)". The record is from RNAcentral. Lineage: Eukaryota; Viridiplantae; Streptophyta; Magnoliopsida; Poales; Bromeliaceae.
GAUGUUAGAAUUUUUUUUUUUUGAGUGAUAGGUAACAUGCUAUCCGCUUUAUUUACAUUUAGAAAUAAACUUAGCUGGAAAUGUAAAUCAAUUAGGAUUCGAAUUUGGGACCUCGAGUACCAAUCACCAAAUCCUUUGCCACUUGCGCUAGGGACGGUCGGUAGCGAUGGUAGAACUACAACCACGUUUUAGUUGUAAU